UGCCUAAUACAUGCAAGUCGAACGAACUCUGGUAUUGAUUGGUGCUUGCAUCAUGAUUUACAUUUGAGUGAGUGGCGAACUGGUGAGUAACACGUGGGAAACCUGCCCAGAAAGCGGGGGAUAACACCUGGAAACAGAUGCUAAUACCGCAUAACAACUUGGACCGCAUGGUCCGAGUUUGAAAGAUGGCUUCGGCUAUCACUUUUGGAUGGUCCCGCGGCGUAUUAGCUAGAUGGUGGGGUAACGGCUCACCAUGGCAAUGAUACGUAGCCGACCUGAGAGGGUAAUCGGCCACAUUGGGACUGAGACACGGCCCAAACUCCUACGGGAGGCAGCAGUAGGGAAUCUUCCACAAUGGACGAAAGUCUGAUGGAGCAACGCCGCGUGAGUGAAGAAGGGUUUCGGCUCGUAAAACUCUGUUGUUAAAGAAGAACAUAUCUUGAGAGUAACUGUUCAGGUAUUGACGGUAUUUAACCAGAAAGCCACGGCUAACUACGUGCCAGCAGCCGCGGUAAUACUUAGGUGGCAAGCGUUGUUCCGGAUUUAUUGGGCGUAAAGCGAGCGCAGGCGGUUUUUUAAGUCUGAUGUGAAAGCCUUCGGCUCAACCGAAGAAAGUGCAUCGGAAACUGGGAAACUUGAGUGCAGAAGAGGACAGUGGAACUCCAUGUGUAGCGGUGAAAUGCGUAGAUAUAUGGAAGAACACCAGUGGCGAAGGCGGCUGUCUGGUCUGUAACUGACGCUGAGGCUCGAAAGUAUGGGUAGCAAACAGGAUUAGAUACCCUGGUAGUCCAUACCGUAAACGAUGAAUGCUAAGUGUUGGAGGGUUUCCGCCCUUCAGUGCUGCAGCUAACGCAUUAAGCAUUCCGCCUGGGGAGUACGGCCGCAAGGCUGAAACUCAAAGGAAUUGACGGGGGCCCGCACAAGCGGUGGAGCAUGUGGUUUAAUUCGAAGCUACGCGAAGAACCUUACCAGGUCUUGACAUACUAUGCAAAUCUAAGAGAUUAGACGUUCCCUUCGGGGACAUGGAUACAGGUGGUGCAUGGUUGUCGUCAGCUCGUGUCGUGAGAUGUUGGGUUAAGUCCCGCAACGAGCGCAACCCUUAUUAUCAGUUGCCAGCAUUAAGUUGGGCACUCUGGUGAGACUGCCGGUGACAAACCGGAGGAAGGUGGGGAUGACGUCAAAUCAUCAUGCCCCUUAUGACCUGGGCUACACACGUGCUACAAUGGAUGGUACAACGAGUUGCGAACUCGCGAGAGUAAGCUAAUCUCUUAAAGCCAUUNUCAGUUCGGAUUGUAGGCUGCAACUCGGCCUACAUGAAGUCGGAAUCGCUAGUAAUCGCGGAUC
Molecule: ribosomal RNA, 1344 nt
Filed under: Lactiplantibacillus plantarum
Lineage: Bacteria; Bacillati; Bacillota; Bacilli; Lactobacillales; Lactobacillaceae
Description: bacterial SSU rRNA
Rfam family: Bacterial small subunit ribosomal RNA
Source: RNAcentral